AAACCAAAGCACGCAAACAGUUGCAGCAGUUUACAUCCUCCUCUGGCGUUUUUCUAAUGGUACUACGAUACAUAGGUGAUUGUAUAAAAUAUACGCGUAAAGAUCACAAGCAAACACAGCGACGCGUUCAAAAAUCGUCCUGACGCACGUUCGCGCGGUAUCUGCCGCACAAAACGAUGAAAUGGAUCGUCGACGAUGCUCGCCUCUUCUCGUAUAUAUAAUAUAAUAAUAAUAAUAAUAAUAUAAUAUAAUGCGCCUUAUUAUUCUUUCGUGCGCGUAAAUAUAGAGUGCUGAUAUGGAAACCCGAGCUCGUAUAAUAAUAAUAAUAUUUAUAUAAUACACGUUCGCGCGUAGGUACGUAAUAUUUAUAAUAUCUUUGGCGCGUGUUUCACGGAGGUUACCUCUGUUACCUGCAGCAACAGCGGAGGCAGCAAGUGUAAAAGAGUCGCGGUGCAGUGUUUAUUACUAUAUUAUUAUUAUAUUACAUAAAACGUUGCGGGUGCAAAAACCCAUUAAGUCUCGAACGGCGCUAUAUAAUAUUAUGACAGUUUUUUUUUCUUUAGUUUCCGUGGUCGUCACCGGACACUUACCUAUACGUACAGGCAGGCCCCGAAUUCGUAUGUAUGUGUAUAAUAAUAUACAGGACAACCAGAAUCUUCAUGUCACAGUAAUUUUCUCAAGUACUGAGGUACACAAAAAUAAUGA
Molecule: non-coding RNA, 705 nt
Organism: Cinara cedri
Lineage: Eukaryota; Metazoa; Arthropoda; Insecta; Hemiptera; Aphididae
Source: the annotation of a GenBank genome assembly